CUGAUUCUAUUCAUUAGUUGAACAAUGGCAUAAUGCCAAUACAUAAACCAAGCAAUUUGCUUGUCAAAAUCUGCAUAAUGAUACCUAAUCAUCACCUACUACCACUAAUACAUUGAAACUUGAAAAACUAAGCUUGCACACUUAAACAAAGCUGACUUAACAGCUUAAUUGUCAUCAAAAUACAUCAAUCAUAAACCUAACAUAGUUCUAAAUGAACUAAAGUACAUUACAUUAACUUAAGAUUACAAGUUGAACAAAAUAGGAAUAGUUCAGCUCGUUCCAGCAGCUCCUGCAUGACUUGGUCUUGAUGGCCUGCAUGCUGUCGAGUUUGCUGCAUGCUGAACCAACUUCAUCACUCCUCCUUGGUUUGCAUGGAGCAAACACCUAGCAUCUUUCUUAGAUAUUCAAACCUUGUGACACUAAGAGCUUUGGUUAAAAUGUCAGCAAGUUGAUCCUCUGAAUUACAGUGGAUCAGCUUUACUUCCUGAGCUUGCUCCAUUUCUCGAACAACAUGCAACUUGAUGCUGAAAUGUUUUGUUCUUCCAUGGAACACUGGAUUUUUAGCAAUUGCUACUGCAGAUUGAUUGUCACAGAAGAUCUCUGUUGCUUCCAUUUGAUCCAUAUUCAAAUCAGCCAGGAUUUUCCUAAGCCAAAUGGCUUGGUUGACAGCACUUGCUGCUGCCACAUACUCUGCUUCAGCAGUAGAUUGUGCCACCAGACUUUGCUUCUUCGAGCUCCAGCAGAACAUGGCUGAACCAAGUUUAAAAGCAUACCCUGAGGUGCUUUUCAUGUCAUCUAUCGAUCCAGCCCAGUCACUAUCAGUGUACCCAACUAGAUUUAGAUUUCCUUUCCUGCUGUACCUUAAGCCAUAGUCCAAAGUGCCUUUGACAUAUCUGAGCACUCUCUUGGCAGCCUGGAAAUGCUUCUCAUUGCAACAAUGCAAGAACCUUGAGAGCAAUCCUACAGCAUACAUUAUGUCUGGUCUAGUGGCAGUCAAGUAUAGCAAACAACCAACUAGACUCCUGUAGGUAGUUUCACAUACCUUCUCAAAAUCUCCUUGGCUCGAUAGUUUUUCUCCAACAGCAACAGGUGUUUUAGUUGGUUUGCUGUUUUGCAUGGAGAACUUGGUCAGAAUCUUUGUGGCAAAGCUCUUCUGACUUAAAAAUAUCCCAUUCUGUGCUUGAGUCACCUCCAUUCCAAGAAAAUAGGACAUCUCCCCAAGAUCAGACAUUUCAAACACCUCUUGCAUCUUGGUCUUGAAGUUAACCAGCACUGCUUGAUCUCCUCCUGUCACCAGCAGGUCAUCAACAUAUAGGGACACAAUGAGUUGUGUUUGUGUCCCUUGCUUCUUGACAUACAGUGUUGGCUCACUCUUGCUUCGAUUGAAUCCUAGAUCAGUCAAGUAGCCAUCGAUUCUGCUGUACCAGGCCCUUGGAGCCUGUUUUAAGCCAUAUAGGGCCUUCUUCAAUUUGUAGACCAUAUGCUCUCUGCCAGCUAUUUCAAACCCUUGUGGUUGUUCAAUAUAGAUGUCUUCAUCUAAGAAACCAUUCAGAAAGGCUGAUUUCACAUCAAGUUGAUGAAUCUUCCAUUCGAGCUGUGCUGCUAAGGCAAUCAGCAGUCUGAUGGUGUCGAGCCUGGCCACUGGUGCAAAGGUCUCCAAAUAGUCCAAGCCAUACCUUUGACUGAACCCCUUGACCACUAGCCUUGCUUUUAACUUGUUCAAGGUACCAUCAGCAUUCUGCUUGGCUUUGUACACCCAUUUCACCCCAAUCACCUUCCUUUUGACUGGCCUUUCAACCAAUUUCCAGGUCUGGUUCUUCUCAAUCAUGCUGAUCUCCUCAGCCAUUGCCUGCUUCCACCCUUGUUGAGCCUCAGCCUCUUCAAAGUUGCUUGGCUCAGCUAUGGCUACAUGAGCCCUUUCAUAAACCUCAGCCAAUGACCUUGUUCCUCUGACUGGUUCAUCAUCAAUAUCCAUUUCAGGGACAUUUUGGUCUGGCUCAGCUUGGUCUACUGCAAGUUCUUCAGAAACUUCUUCAGGUUCAUGUCUUUCCCAGUUCCAACAUGACCUCUCAUCAAAUACCACAUCCCUGCUUAUUGACACUUUGUUUGUUGAAGGAUCUAAAAUCCUAUAGCCCUUCUUAACAGUGCUAUAUCCCACCAAAACACCAGGUCGAGCCCUUUCAGACAAUUUGUCCCUUUUAACAGCAGGUACAUGUGCAUAACAGAUGCAUCCAAAGACCUUCAGAUGAGCCAAUGAUGGCUUGAAGCUAAACCAGGCCUCGAAUGGGGUCUUUUGAUCCAAAGCCUUGGUUGGAAGUCUAUUUUGAAUGUAUGUUGCAGUGUUAACUGCUUCUGCCCAUAGUGCUUUAGGCAGAUUUUUCUGAAUCAUCAAGCACCUGGCCAUAUCCAUCAAACUCCUAUUCUUCCUUUCACUUACCCCAUUCUGCUGAGGUGUAUAUGUGUUGGUAAGUUGAUGUUUGAUGCCUGCCUUAUCACAGAAGGCUUGGAACUGAGCUGAGGUGUACUCAGUCCCAUUAUCAGACCUUAUGGUCUUCAGCUUGCAGCCUGUUUCAGUCUCAGAAGCAGUCUUGAACUUCCAAAACACUGAGGCCACUUCUGAUUUCUGUUUUAAAAAGUAAAUCCAGCAAUAUCUCGAGAAAUCAUCAAUGAACAGUAUGAAAUACCUGUUUCCACUUAAUGACUCAGUCUUCAUAGGGCCACACACAUCAGUAUGCACCAGUUGGAGUUUUUCAGAGGCUCUCCAGGCUUGAUUCGAGGGAAAUGGGAGUCUGGCCUGCUUUCCUAGCUGACAUACAUCACAUACAUCAUCAUGGUCCACUGAGUUGAUGAAAUUUUCAGCCAGGUCCUCUCUGACCAUUCGAGCCAUCGAUCUGAAGUUGGCAUGUCCCAAUCUUUGAUGCCACAGCUUGGAUUCAUCUGAAGUGGCUGUGUAGGCAAUGUCUGACUUUUUUGUCCAGUCAACCACAAAGCUCUUAUCAGCCAUAGGGACUGCCAUCAGUUUGGAUCCACUUGGAUCACUGAUUUGGCACUGGUGGUCUUUAAACACAACUGAAUAACCUUUUUCCAGCAACUGAGCUAUGCUGAGCAGGUUUCUGUCAAUUUCAGGCACCAACAGCACAUUUGAAAUCACUUUGGUACCUGUAAGGGUGCAUAUCAGCACAUCACCCUUGCCUUCAGCUUGAAUAAAAUGACCAUUUCCUAUCUUGACUUUAGUUCUGCAGCUUCUGUCUAAAGACUUGAAGAUUGCAGCAUCAGGUGUCAUGUGGUUGGUGCAUCCACUGUCUAGGAGCCAACCAGAUGAGGACCUUUCCUGAGCAGCUGAGCAUGACACAGCAAAGACUUGUUCCUCUUGGUCACUGUCCUCCUUAGCUACUCGAGCCUCAGCUUUCAUCUGUUGAAACUGAUUCUGCCUCGAUUUGGUCUUACUCUUGCAGACUCUCUCAACAUGACCCUUCUUCUUACAAUGCUGACACACAGCAUCUGGAUUGAACCAGCAUUUUUCUUCUGAAUGACCAGCCUUUCUACAGUGCUUGCAAGUCUGACCUUCUCUCCUUGCAGCAUCAUUCUUUGGCUUGUCUCUCCAGGCCUUCUUGCCUUUGUAGGCAGUAUUUGCUCUUGCCUAAAAGGCACCUUCUUGGUGCUCCUCCAGUCUGCUUGCUCUCCUCUGCUCUUGAGCAUAUAGAGCAUUGAUCAACUCUGUCAGGGAGAUGGUGGACAGAUCCCUUGAGUCCUCGAGAGAUGAGAUUUUUGCCUCAUACCUCUCAGGCAGAGUUGCUAUAACCUUCUCCACUAUCCUAGCUUCAUUGAACUGCUCUCCAAGGAGCCUGAUGCUGUUAACCACAGCCAUAAUCCUGUCAGAAUAUUGCUUGACAGUUUCUUCUUCCUUCAUCUUCAAAUUCUCGAAAUCUCUCCUCAAGUUUAACAACUGUUGCUGCCUUGUCCUCUCUGUCCCUUGAAACUCUUCCUGCAACUUAUCCCAGGCCUGUUUUGGUGAUUCACAGGCCAUAAUCCUUGUGAAAAUCACAUCAGACACUGAGUUUUGGAUGCAAGACAUAGCUUUGUGCCUCUUGGUCCUUUCAUCAGCAUGCUGCCUGAUCUGAGCCACUGUUGGAUUAGCUCUAAGUGGCUCUGGUUCAACAUCAAAGUUGACCACCUCCCACAGAUCGAAAGCCUGCAGGUAGGUCUUCAUUUUGACCACCCAUAUGUGAUAGCCUUCUCCAUUGAAGACUUGAGGUGCAGCUGGUGAAAAGCUUGAUGAAGCCAUGGAAUUGAGUAACAGAUCCCUUAAGAAAUAGGCUCUAGAUACCAAUUGUUGGUGCAAGAGCAGAAUCAAGCAGACUCAGCAAUAUCUUGUCAACCAAGUCUCGAGACUUGCUGAGCAAACAAGAGAAUUCAAGCCAGAAGAAAGAAAGAAAAAGCUAAGAAAAUGGAGAGGAAAAUUGAUGAACAAAAACUGAUUCUAUUCAUUAGUUGAACAAUGGCAUAAUGCCAAUACAUAAACCAAGCAAUUUGCUUGUCAAAAUCUGCAUAAUGAUACCUAAUCAUCACCUACUACCACUAAUACAUUGAAACUUGAAAAACUAAGCUUGCACACUUAAACAAAGCUGACUUAACAGCUUAAUUGUCAUCAAAAUACAUCAAUCAUAAACCUAACAUAGUUCUAAAUGAACUAAAGUACAUUACAUUAACUUAAGAUUACAAGUUGAACAAAA
This 4733-nucleotide long non-coding RNA is filed under the name Gossypium barbadense (sea-island cotton). RNAcentral describes it as "long non-coding RNA (GBAR_LNC014596)". The record is from RNAcentral. Lineage: Eukaryota; Viridiplantae; Streptophyta; Magnoliopsida; Malvales; Malvaceae.